AUAUCUCUCUGUACGGGAAGGAUGAGAAGCUUCGACUAAGGUUCGAUUCGAGCGUCAGCGAGAAAGCGUUGCCGCAGGCAACGACCCGAAGGGCGAAGCGCGCAGCGUUGAGUCAUCCUUCCCCCACCACCA
Molecule: small RNA, 132 nt
Filed under: Salmonella enterica
Lineage: Bacteria; Pseudomonadati; Pseudomonadota; Gammaproteobacteria; Enterobacterales; Enterobacteriaceae
Also listed under: 1 other name
Description: RtT sRNA
Rfam family: RtT RNA
About the family: This family represents a bacterial cis-regulatory element known as RtT RNA.
Source: RNAcentral